Molecule: transfer RNA, 72 nt
Filed under: Chloroflexota bacterium
Lineage: Bacteria; Bacillati; Chloroflexota
Description: Chloroflexi bacterium (groundwater metagenome) tRNA-Gly
Rfam family: tRNA
About the family: Transfer RNA (tRNA) molecules are approximately 80 nucleotides in length. Their secondary structure includes four short double-helical elements and three loops (D, anti-codon, and T loops).
Source: RNAcentral
GUGGUUGGAGUCUGCCGGUACGAUGUCUCCUUGCCAAGGAGAAGACAGUGGGUUCGAUUCCCACCAGCCACA